This 91-nucleotide transfer RNA is filed under the name compost metagenome. Its description in RNAcentral is "tRNA-Gln". The record is from RNAcentral.
CCGCCGUGGAUGAUGCCUUGCGAUUUGACGCUCUGCUCGCCACCGAGGCUGGCGUUUUCCAGCAACAGGGUGGCAAAGCCCUGGCGGCGCA